GGUGGCGUUGGGCACGGUGUUCGACGCGCCGGUGCUGUCGGCACUGGCCGAGCGGCUCGAAGCGGAGAACACGGCGGUCUUGUCGCCGAUACCGCUG
RNAcentral lists this transfer RNA (97 nucleotides) under Burkholderia pseudomallei. Its description in RNAcentral is "tRNA-Asp(gtc)". The record is from RNAcentral. Lineage: Bacteria; Pseudomonadati; Pseudomonadota; Betaproteobacteria; Burkholderiales; Burkholderiaceae.